Molecule: ribosomal RNA, 1398 nt
Filed under: Escherichia coli
Lineage: Bacteria; Pseudomonadati; Pseudomonadota; Gammaproteobacteria; Enterobacterales; Enterobacteriaceae
Description: partial 23S ribosomal RNA
Rfam family: Bacterial large subunit ribosomal RNA
Source: RNAcentral
GGGAAACAGGUUAAUAUUCCUGUACUUGGUGUUACUGCGAAGGGGGGACGGAGAAGGCUAUGUUGGCCGGGCGACGGUUGUCCCGGUUUAAGCGUGUAGGCUGAUUUUCCAGGCAAAUCCGGAAAAUCAAGGCUGAGGCGUGAUGACGAGGCACUACGGUGCUGAAGCAACAAAUGCCCUGCUUCCAGGAAAAGCCUCUAAGCAUCAGGUAACAUCAAAUCGUACCCCAAACCGACACAGGUGGUCAGGUAGAGAAUACCAAGGCGCUUGAGAGAACUCGGGUGAAGGAACUAGGCAAAAUGGUGCCGUAACUUCGGGAGAAGGCACGCUGAUAUGUAGGUGAAGCGACUUGCUCGUGGAGCUGAAAUCAGUCGAAGAUACCAGCUGGCUGCAACUGUUUAUUAAAAACACAGCACUGUGCAAACACGAAAGUGGACGUAUACGGUGUGACGCCUGCCCGGUGCCGGAAGGUUAAUUGAUGGGGUUAGCGGUAACGCGAAGCUCUUGAUCGAAGCCCCGGUAAACGGCGGCCGUAACUAUAACGGUCCUAAGGUAGCGAAAUUCCUUGUCGGGUAAGUUCCGACCUGCACGAAUGGCGUAAUGAUGGCCAGGCUGUCUCCACCCGAGACUCAGUGAAAUUGAACUCGCUGUGAAGAUGCAGUGUACCCGCGGCAAGACGGAAAGACCCCGUGAACCUUUACUAUAGCUUGACACUGAACAUUGAGCCUUGAUGUGUAGGAUAGGUGGGAGGCUUUGAAGUGUGGACGCCAGUCUGCAUGGAGCCGACCUUGAAAUACCACCCUUUAAUGUUUGAUGUUCUAACGUUGGCCCGUUAUCCGGGUUGCGGACAGUGUCUGGUGGGUAGUUUGACUGGGGCGGUCUCCUCCUAAAGAGUAACGGAGGAGCACGAAGGUUGGCUAAUCCUGGUCGGACAUCAGGAGGUUAGUGCAAUGGCAUAAGCCAGCUUGACUGCGAGCGUGACGGCGCGAGCAGGUGCGAAAGCAGGUCAUAGUGAUCCGGUGGUUCUGAAUGGAAGGGCCAUCGCUCAACGGAUAAAAGGUACUCCGGGGAUAACAGGCUGAUACCGCCCAAGAGUUCAUAUCGACGGCGGUGUUUGGCACCUCGAUGUCGGCUCAUCACAUCCUGGGGCUGAAGUAGGUCCCAAGGGUAUGGCUGUUCGCCAUUUAAAGUGGUACGCGAGCUGGGUUUAGAACGUCGUGAGACAGUUCGGUCCCUAUCUGCCGUGGGCGCUGGAGAACUGAGGGGGGCUGCUCCUAGUACGAGAGGACCGGAGUGGACGCAUCACUGGUGUUCGGGUUGUCAUGCCAAUGGCACUGCCCGGUAGCUAAAUGCGGAAGAGAUAAGUGCUGAAAGCAUCUAAGCACGAAACUUGCCCCG